RNAcentral lists this ribosomal RNA (422 nucleotides) under uncultured bacterium. RNAcentral describes it as "bacterial SSU rRNA". It matches the Rfam family "Bacterial small subunit ribosomal RNA", at positions 207 to 622 of the family's 1533-position model. The record is from RNAcentral.
AAGACCUUGCACUUUUGGAGCGGCCGAUGUCUGAUUAGCUAGUUGGUGGGGUAAUGGCCUACCAAAGCUUCGAUCAGUAGCUGGUCUGAGAGGACGGCCAGCCACACUGGGACUGAGACACGGCCCAGACUCCUACGGGAGGCAGCAGUGGGGAAUUUUGGACAAUGGGCGCAAGCCUGAUCCAGCCAUGCCGCGUGAGUGAAGAAGGCCUUCGGGUUGUAAAGCUCUUUCAGCCGGGAAGAAAAGGUUGCGACUAAUAAUCGCAAUUCAUGACGGUACCGAAAGAAGAAGCACCGGCUAACUACGUGCCAGCAGCCGCGGUAAUACGUAGGGUGCGAGCGUUAAUCGGAAUUACUGGGCGUAAAGGGUGCGCAGGCGGUUUUGUAAGUCAGAUGUGAAAUCCCGGGCUUAACCUGGGAACU